UGGAUGUGAGCCGGAUUUAAAUUUCUAUAUCAGUGUAAUAACUAUAUUCUGUAGAUUGCAUAAUCUUGAGGUAGGCAUGAAGUUGUUUAGGAUGAUGAGAGCUUCUAACGUCUCUCCAGAUUCAGCUACGUAUGCGGCCUUGAUAAACUGUUUGUGUGACCAUCUUCAUUUGGAUGAUGCUACGAAACUUUUUGAAGAGAUGAUAGAUCGUGGCUUGUCGCCUGAGGAAGAAACAUUUUUGGAUAUAGUAAAUGGGUUUUGCAAAUUAAAUAAAUUCACUGAAGCUAUUAUGUUUUUGGAGGAGAAAAAUGUAAUCAACACUUCUCCUUACAAUACACUUCUUGAAGCCUUUUGUGCCACUAGUAAUUUUUCUAUGGCAAAAAGUACAUUUUAUAGAAUGUUUGGGAGGAAUAUAACUGAUGUUACGUCUUGCAAUAUCCUUAUCAGAUUCCUUUGUGAGAAUGCAGCGAUCAGUAAAGCAUUGGAGUUUUUAUGUAGGAUGAUCGUUUCUUUAUUUGUUCCUGACUCUGCUACUUAUUCUGCUCUUAUUACUGGUUACUGCAGAAUGGGGAAGUUUGAGGAUGCUCUGCAGUUGUUUUCCACCGUUAGAUCUAAAUGUUGGGUUUUGGAUUCUGUCUCAUAUGCUGAACUUGUUGAAUGUCUUUGCCAGAGGGAAAACACUCAAGAGGCAGCUAAAGUCUUUUGCUAUAUGUCUAGGAAGGGUUGCGCUCUUCGAUCUACCUCUUUCAAUAAGUUGAUUGAGGAGACUUGUGCAAGUGGAAAGGUCGACAGUGCUGCUAGGUUACUGUCGGUGGCUUACUACUCUGGUACUGUCUGUUUUUGUUCUACUUACAAUUGUAUCAUGCGAGGAUUAUUUAUGUUGGGCCACAUGGAUGAUAUCUUGGUCUUGGUUUCAAAGAUGAUGGUAGUUGGUUGUGCAUUUGAUGAAGAAACUUACUGCAUACUUAUUAAGAGCACGAGUGCUCUCAAUCGAGUAUCUGACUCCAUCUCUUUUUUCAACUUGAUGCUUGAGGAGGGUUUUUUACCUAGUUCUGAUACAUUAGUUUGUUUAUUGCAGUUUUUGGCUAAGUAUUCUCGAGUGCACUUAAUCUUGUCAUCAUUAGAUAAGCUUAAUUCCGAAAUUCUUGAUUCCGUGACUUACAAGCAGUUGAUUAAUGGCCUCUGCGGAGAGGGAUACAAAAGUGAGGCAAAACAAUAUCUGGACUUGAUGUUGGAGAAAGGUUGGGUCCCAGAUGCCGCUACUCAUGCGUUACUGAUGGGUUCUGUCUCGAAAGAAGAAUUUGAGAUCCAAAAAUCUGCUUAUGAAAAUAGUGGCACAUGUGAUGAGGUCAGUAGCAUACUAGCAGAGGGCUUGGUGGAAAGAUGACAGAUUCAUCUUCUUUUACAUUGAUCAGCUUUUGUGCAAUACUUGUCGACCAAGAGCUGGUUGAACUACUAAUUGAAUGUUCUGUUGCUAGAUCCCGUGGGAUAAUGAAUUGAGACAGGGCAUGUUCUCAAGGAAGUUCUUGCUUGCGAACUUCUUUAGUAGGGCGGUUUGGAGGUCCCAUUCCUCACGUUUACCGAGCCUUUGGGGCAGGUUUAUUCAUCUCCUAUAUCUUGUUUGCUUAACGUUUCUGCACAUUGUCGUAAGUUGCUGAGUCCUCUUUAUUUUUCUCCCAGGAAGGAUGCUCGGAAGUUCGAAGCGUUAUUAAAGGAUUACUGUACGUUUUCAGGCGCAAGUGACUACAGAAUUUGACUCGAGUUCCAUUUUCACUUGUACAACCUCAACGUUGGUCCCUGAAAUGUUUUCCUAGCUUCUUAUAAUGUUUCUUAGGGCCUGGCGAGUCAGCACGGGUGGCCGUUGAAUGUCGACCGUGGAGCGUCGACGUAAUAAAAUAUUAAGAGCUCGUUUGAUGUUAUUUUUUGCAAAAAAUGUAUUUUGGAAUAGUGAUUUGAUG
This 1958-nucleotide long non-coding RNA is filed under the name Olea europaea subsp. europaea. Lineage: Eukaryota; Viridiplantae; Streptophyta; Magnoliopsida; Lamiales; Oleaceae. The record is from RNAcentral.